AUGUUUUUGCAGCGAUUUCUCAGUUUCCUGGAUUUUGUCUUACUGUUUGUAUCUUUUGUGGAAAAACAGAUUUGGAAAUACAGGAGAAGUGGGUGGAAAAAGAGAGCCAGCUCCAACUGUUUGGGUCACAGCUACAGGCCAGACCCUUUGCUGCUCUUUUUCUCCGGAACCAGAGAGUGACUCAGUUUAUUCUGAUGUCCCCAGGACCCUGAGAGCCGACCCGCACCCAAGGGGCUGCGGUGGCGCAGGCAUCAGGGUCUCCUCCUGGCAGCUAGGGCGGGCAGAUACACGUGCAUUCCACUUAUCCUCAACCUGGAAAAGGAAGGCCGAGGACUUUGACCUUGGAGAAACGGCGUCCUCGGGCGAUGGGGACGGGAGGGUCCGGGAGAAGUCCUCAGAUUCCUCUGGAGAAGUUGUGCAAACAGAAGGCAUUCCUCGGCUUCCGCCCCGAAGCGGGCCCGGUUCCCCGGAGCGGCGGCGUCCCGGUCGACGCCGUCGCGGGCCCGUCCUCGGUCUCGCCCGCCCCCUCGAGGCCCGGGCGGCCGCCGCGGCGCGAGAGCAGCAGCCCGAGCGCUCCGCGUGUCGCCCGGCGGCCGCCCGGAACCGCGGGCCGCGGGGAUGCGCAGGCCGAGGUGGCGGCGCCUCCAGCCCCUUCCGCUGCCCCCGCCCCCGCCCCCGCUCGGCUCCGGGCUUCGCCUCCGCGCGGCCGACCCCGCGCCUCGCCCAGCCGCCGCGCGCUCGCUCCUCGCCAGCGGCUCCGCGGCCCCGGGAGAGGCCUGGAGCGGGAGCGGGAGCGGGAGCCGGGGCUGGCGGAGGAUGGAGGGGGCGCGGGCGGCGGCCGAGCCUGCCGGCGGGAGCCCUCAAAGGCCCAAGACAGGGAGCGGAACAACCAGCCCCAUGCAUGUGACCUCAGUUAUGGAGAGAAAUGGUCCUGAGGCACAACUGGAUAAUGGACCCCUCUCAAGACCCUGGCCAUUUCCUACCCCUCAGCCUCCUAGGCUCUGUGGUGUGCAGCUCCGUGGACCCUCUGUGUUGGAGUUCAAGGUGAAGGCUUUGAAGGAGAAGAUGAUAGCGGGUAAACAGGGAGUGAGCCCCACCACCCAUGAGCAGUCAUCCCUCAAGAAAUCCAAAUGCCGACAAGUCAAGCCUAGAAGAGUCCGCAUAUCAGAAGACUCUUCCCUGCCAGCUGCUGUGGUGGUGCCCUCUGCUCAGAAGCUGACUGGUGAGCCACUAGACAACAGUGUCAACAAGGAAGAACCCACUAGGAAUGGGGGCUUCAGGCCUCCCAAGGCCUCUGCCUUUGAGCUUGAGUGUUGGAAAGGGCAGAGCCCAUUGCCUCCAGAAGCAGUAUGGAUGUUCCCAGAGUGUGAUGGGCAUCUAUCACCAGGACCUGACUCUUUGCCAGAAAGCCCUAUUCACAGAGUUACUCCAGGCUGGCCAGCAGGGCCUGGGCCUUGUAAAAUCUCCUGUAUGCCCAGCCUGAAGAAAAGAAGGCCAGACACCCUUCAAGAUGGUCUGGUCACAGUGGGAGCCUUGGACAGCCCAUCUCUCACCCCUGAAGAGGGCUUUGUCCCAAGGCCAUGCCUGCAGGGGACGCUGUGGAAAGCUAGAGACAUGGGGGCUCCGGGCACUGGGGGCAGUGUCUUAUCCUUAUCUGACCAAGUAGAGAGGAACCGCCUGCUGCUGCAGGAGAUGCUGAAGGUUUCAGGACAGAGUCCCCCCAAGGUGGUAUCUGCAGCCCAGGACAGAACUGCACCAGAACAACCAGCAGUGGACACAGGCUGGGAAUCAGGACUGUUCCUGCAGGACUCAGAGCAGAACAGGACCUUUGGUCCCAAGCCGGAGGCUGUGCCGAGCUCCAGUAAUGAGGAUGCCAAACAUCUGCUGCAGUGUGCCCGAAUGAAGGCCAGGACCCGGCCCCUCCGUGCCAGCCAUGACAUUGUGCCCACCAUUGCUCAGGGCAGCCGAGCUGGCUGGAGAAGUCUGGCCCUGGGUCCCCAGAUGACCUUCCCCUGUGGAGAAAGCCUUCAGAGCAGCAGCCUGAGUGACUCCUCCAGUGGGGAGUCCAGCAGUGGGCAGUGGCCCAAGCAGGGCAUGUCCCCGUCACAUGUCCGCUUUGAAGAUGAAUCUGCUUGUGAAGCUGAAUUCCGCCACCUGGAGCGGCUGCAGCAGCGCCAGCGCCAGCGCCAGGUGCUGGGCACAGUGCUGCAGGCUGCAGGCCAGGGCCCCCUGCGCUCCAAGCCAGACCUCGCAGACUAUGUGAACCGGGAAGUGGGGAUGGGCACGUUCCACAGGCCAGGGGACAGUGUGGACUGCAGGGGCCACCCUCUGCUGCUGCCCAACUGGGCCAGUAAAAAGAAGUGCCAAGCUUGCGGCAACUGUCCUGAAAGGCAACACCUGGACCCAGCUGUUCUCGAGGACCUUCAGGCUGCUUAUGGGGUAGAGGGCGUGCUGCUGGGGUCCCAUGGUUCUCGUGGCCUGACCUCCCCAUGCCAGCUCCUCCCUGCUAAAUCAGAGCUCCACACAGAAAGGAUCCAGGAAACACAUAUUGGGGAGACCAUCACAUGCCUUGCAGAGGGGGACUCUGCCCUGGAUAGUACGGACACUUCAGACAGCUGCCGGUCAGACAGUAUGGAGGCCACAGCCUCUCUGGCCUGCAGAACAGGCCGGCGGACUCGAGGCAGAAACCCUAGAGAUUGGGACUCCAGGCCUCAGGGAAGCCUCAGGUGGUCCAGGAAAGCCAAGAUGGAGCUGCUCUGUGGCCUUCAGGCUUGGCAUCACCCCGUAGGGGCAGAUGACAUGGAGGUGGGAGAAGAUGCAGGACACAUGGCUGCGGGGACUCAGUUUUUUAAAGCAGAUACUGUCUUUAAGCCUCCUCCCUUGGAACCUGAGAUGACUUCCUUGGGGUCCCACAGGCAGCCUGGACCAGGGCUAAGAAAUCACCAGAUUCCCUCUGUGGACUCCUGGGCUCCAUGCAAGUCAGCCAGUGCCACGACAUUUUCCACGAAGCCAGCACCUUCAGGACCAGGCAGACCAGAAAGCCCUGAGUAUCUGGAAACAGUCUGCACUUCCUCCCUGCAACAAAAUCAUUCAGUACACACUGCCCCCAGCCCAACCCAGCAGCCAACCGUGCCCCCCUCCCCUGAACAGUGGGUACCAACAAGAACCACCUCCUGUGUGCCUCACGGAAAGGCAGGGCUGGCUGGACCCUACAGGCCAGAGGAGCAGGAGGAAUCUGUGGGUAUUCCUCGGCCACCAUCUGCUCCGAGGACUGUGGUUCUCCAGACCUGUGGGCUCAGCUCCCCACAGACCCAGUCCUGCAUCCCCCACGUCAGGCACCCACUGCUGGGCCUGUCUGCCAACAGCUGCAUUCCUCUGGGGCAGCAGCAACCCCAGCGAACAGCUGCGCACAGGGGCAGAGAGGAGAGGGAGCCCUGCAGCCAGCAGCCGGAUCCACCUUUGGAAGGCAGCGGAGAUGGAGGAUGCCAGGGCGCUGUCAGCUUAGCAGAUGCUGCUGCCUUCAACUCCAUGGGCGUCACCCUCACCCUGAACUCCGAGGAGCCCAAGAGAGGCCUGCAGAGGACGGAGUCCAGUUCUGGGGGGCAUGUGCUGUCCGGAGGAUCACCAGGGGCCAGUGCAGGGCCCAGGCCGCCUUUGGCUGUGCCUUCUGACAGCAAUAAAAAAAGGAGCAGCAGUAUCGCCUCCACGCUGGGGCUGAAAAAGCUGUUUUCAGCCCUCGGGCAGACUUCCCGGCCCAAGCUGGGCAAGUCCCGCAGCUACAGUGUAGAGCAGCUGCGGCCCGACGCACCUGGCUCGGCGUCACACACCAGAACCCCAGAAGUAAAGAGAACCCCAUCGCUACAGUCCCUGAAUCUGGUGUCACCCUCCCGCCAACAUCGGAAAGCUGCCUCCUUUCAGAACCUCCAUUCUCUGCUGAGUGGCAGGGGGGACCGGUCCAGCCUCUACCUGGUAGAGGCCGAAGGGAACCCCACUGAACCUGGGAGGCCUGCCAAGGUCCCUCCCCGGCGCACCCUCAGCGUGGAGGAUGUGGGCGCCCCCAGCCUGGCUCGCACCGUGGGCCGCGUGGUGGCAGUGUUCCCGGAUGGCACGAGCCAGCUGCAGCUGGAGCGUUCCCCUGAGGGCACCUUUGGCUUUCAAGUGGGUUCCGGGAAUGGGCGCAGGGACUCAGGUCGCUUUGGCCGAGUUGCUGAAGGAGGCACGAAUGUGAGAAGACAGAUCUCCCCCUCUGCACCUGCACCUGCACCUGCGGAGGGAAAGCGGCAGUCUUUGCAGGGAGAUGACAUUUGUGAGGUGCUCCCCAGGUGUCAGUCCUACAGCCUCUUCUUGGGCAGCUCAGAGGCCUCCCAGGCUCACUGCUGUCAGUGAGGAAAGUGUGUAGGUACUGUGUCACCCCUGCUGGGGGAGGGGACUUCAAGGUGACUUAGCCCCUCUGGGCCUAGGCUCCCUCAUCUGUGGAAUGAGGACACCACCGCCCCCCUGGAAGAGGUAUGGGAACAUUUGGUGAGGUUCAGAAUAAAGUGCCUGGCUCUUUUCUUCCCUUCCCUUUUCAGGAGAAGGUACAAAGAGUGACCAGCAUGACCUGCACCUGUGGGACACCACAGGCUGCUGCAUUCGCCCCCCCCCCUCCUGCCAUGGAGCUCUGGUGCACGAGGACUCUGAGGAUGCAGAGCUCCUCAGGCUCUGUCCUGGCCUUGCCCCCAUGGGUGCUCCUUGCUGGGGGUCCUGUUCAGGUGGGGCCUUGCCCCCUGCUGCUAUAGCUGGCCACUAGGCAUCUUGCAGAGGCCCCAGGCACACACAGCAAAUAGGUGCUUUACCCAGACCCUCCUCCAGAGCCAGGGUCACGUCUCCUCGGCCACGGAGCCAGGUGGGCUGGGGCAGAUCUGGCUCCUUGGUAAAAUGUCAGGAUGACGCCAUUAGCUUGCUGGCUAUCAGAGUCUGUUUCCACAGGAGCGCAAGGAACAGCAGGCUUUGCCUUCUGCUCCUACUGUGUAGACUGCACACCCUUACAAAGACCACCUCCAGCAGACAGGAGCCCACAGGAGCAGACUGUUGGCUGUAUUUUCCUUAUGACUUUCAGUUAGGAAACCUACCCAGCUCUCCUGAAAACGCCCGGUUAUGUCAGUGUGUGCUCAGGCUCAGCUGCAUUCUUUCGGGUUUUAUGGCUGCUCCCCACCUGCCUCUCCCACUGUGCAGCAGACCCUUGUCAGGUGCAUGGGGCCUCCUCACCAGCCUGUCCCUGGGCCACCUGUGUGGAAGUAGGGCAGGCAGGCCACUGCACCACCUGAGAGAGGACAGAAGGGGUGGGGCAGAGCCUGUGAGGAAAAGCUGUGCAACCAGGAUGGAGACGGUGCCUGCCGCGGGGUGAGCAGCCUCGUCUUGGCGAAGCAGCGGCAGAGCUGCAGACUGCUCUGUGCCCCUGUGAAGGAGGAGCUGGCACCUGUGCUUUCCCAGCCUUCUGAACUUGUCGUGGCUGGAGCUGGACAGGGUGCUCUGGGGCCCGGAGGGCCAGGAAGGACUGCUGAUGGGUCACAGAUGCUACAAACCGUGUAGGCCAGAGACAGCACAGCCAGACCAGAUGACUGAAUCCCUGCACAGCACUGAGCCUCGGAAAAGGAAGUGGAGCCAGCAGCAGGGCAGCUCUUCCUGUUUCUCACACAGAGCCAGCUGAGCCUGGGCUGGGCAGCAGUGAGCACUAAGCUGCCUCAGCGAAUUCUGCAAUCUUGUGGGCCGCGUGAAGGUCGCCCCAAAAGACCAUCCCCUGCAGUUCUCUAGCAGACUAGCUGUGCCCCAGAGCCCCGUGUUCCCUUGGCACGGAGCGUGGGCAGUGGGCUUAGUGACUGGAAGAUGCUGUUCAGCGUUUAAUCUCAGGCCUCUAUGUGCAGGAGAUGGCUGACCUGGACACCGCCAAGCUCUACUCGGGGCUGCUCGGGGUGGGGGAUGAGAUCCUGGAGGUGAACGGAGCCAAGGUUGCUGGGCUGGGCUUGGCUUACAUCAAGGAGCUCCUUGCCCAUUCAGAGAGCUUAUCAGUCCGUGUCCUGAGG
RNA transcript from Cavia porcellus (domestic guinea pig), 6062 nucleotides. It is a transcript of the gene named KIAA1614 ortholog, with no coding region annotated. The record is from RefSeq and is a predicted model, not a curated record. The transcript has 11 exons. Lineage: Eukaryota; Metazoa; Chordata; Mammalia; Rodentia; Caviidae.